This 253-nucleotide ribosomal RNA is filed under the name uncultured Bacteroides sp. RNAcentral's name for it is "partial 16S ribosomal RNA". It matches the Rfam family "Bacterial small subunit ribosomal RNA", at positions 524 to 776 of the family's 1533-position model. The record is from RNAcentral. Lineage: Bacteria; Pseudomonadati; Bacteroidota; Bacteroidia; Bacteroidales; Bacteroidaceae.
UACGGAGGAUCCGAGCGUUAUCCGGAUUUAUUGGGUUUAAAGGGAGCGUAGGUGGAUUGUUAAGUCAGUUGUGAAAGUUUGCGGCUCAACCGUAAAAUUGCAGUUGAAACUGAAAGACUUGAGUGUGUUUGAGGUAGGCGGAAUGCGUGGUGUAGCGGUGAAAUGCUUAGAGAUCAUACAGAACACCGAUUGCGAAGGCAGCUUACCAAACUAUAUCUGACGUUGAGGCACGAAAGCGUGGGUAGCAAACAGG